AUGGUGUACAUGAACCUAUCCAAAAAUCACCACGUCCUUAGAAAAGUUAGGGACUGCCUCCACUGUGGAGCAUUGCGGUUUCAGUAUGAGGGACCUGCAUUUUGUUGCAGAAAGGGGAAAGUAGGUUUGUUUACACCUGAGGUUCCGGAUGAGUUGAAACGGCUGUUCACAAGUCAAGGUGAUGACGAUGCUAAAUAUUUUCGAGACAACAUACGGUAUUUCAACUCUCACUUCUCAUUCACAAGUCUUGGAGUCACCCUUGAUCGUCGAGUAAGCACUGUGGCAGGAACCGGCGUAUAUACCUUUCGUGCAUGUGGGGGGUUGUACCAUGCUCUUGAUGAUCUGGUGCCGGCUGAUAAUGGUCCUAGGCAUUUGCAGCUCUAUAUUUAUGAUACAGAUCAUAACUUGGUGCACAGGGCUAAGAGGUCUCCAGAUCUGAAUAUAGAACUCAUACGUAAAAUUCUGCUAAUACUAGAGCCGAACCCUUAUGCACAGGCUUUCAAGAGCCUUGGGUCCGUUCCAAAUCUAGAUGAGUACAAGAUCUCACUAAACACAGAUAUCAAGUUGGAUCAACGUAGGUAUAAUGCCCCAACGACUUCUCAGGUGGCAGCUAUAUGGGUUGAAGGGAGCGACCCACAAAAUUGUUUUGACAGGAGUGUUGUUGUGCAUGGAAAAAAAGGCGACCGGCCCCUGUACAUUAGAGCAUACUAUGGGUGCUAUGAUCCAUUGUCAUAUCCACUGUUUUUCCCACGUGGGGAGACAGGUUGGAAUCGCUGGAUGCCGUAUGUUCAGGAACACAAUGACACAAACCAAUAUCCGGCGCAUUAUUCAGAUCCGCAAGAAAACCGGGCCUCUGAAUUACAUACAGAUGAAAACUUGAUGGGUGGAAGGGAACAAGUUGGCAACUUUGGGCCAGAUGAAGACCGAGUCACUGAUUUACAUGCAGAAGAUAAUUUGAUUAAUGAAAGGGAACAAGUUGGGAAUUUUGUGCCAGAUGAAGACCAUGCCAGUGAUUUACAUGCAGAUGAUAAUGAGGAUAACCAAGAUGAGGAUUUUGUUGACAAUGAGGUGAAUGCAACACAAUCCAGGAAAUUUGUUAGUGCGAGGGAGUACUACUGCUUCAAGCUACAGAUUGAGACUAUGAGGCUGGACUGGUACUCAAAGCCAGAGAAUCAAAAGGUUAUACGAGCUGACCUCUACCAGGGUCUUGUUGACACCAUCAUUGCCGGCGAGUCACGUGGUGAUCGGAUUGGUAAGAGAAUCGUGCUUCCACGCACGUUUCCUGGUGGUGAUCGCGACAUGCAGCGAAGGUUCCUCGAUGCAAUGACAAUAGUCCAACGGUGGGGUAAACCGGAUUAUUUUAUCACGAUGACUUGCAAUCACUACUGGGAGGAGAUAACACUUAAUCUGAUGCCUGGACAACUGCCACAAGACCGUCCAGACCUGGUGGCAAGGGUAUAUAGGGCUAAACAGCGAGAUAUGAUGGACUUGCUAAUUAAGGGUAAGCAUUUCGGACAAGUCGCAGCUUAUGUACAUGUCACAGAGUUUCAGAAACGAGGCCUCCCUCAUGAGCAUAUACUUUUAAUCAUGAAAGCAAAUAGCAAGUUGGCAACCCCGGAUGACUAUGAUCGGGUGAUAUCCGCAGAGAUACCGGACAAAGAGAAACACCCAGUUCUGCAUGAGCUGGUCGUCAAACACAUGUUGCACGGACCCUGUGGUGAGUUGAAAAAAAGUUGUCCGUGCAUGAUUGAUGGACAGUGUAGGUUCCAUUAUCCGCGAGAUUUUUGUGAUGCCACACAACAAGGGAGAGACUCUUAUCCCAUCUAUCGGAGGAGGGACGAUGGGCAUGGAGUUAGGAUUAGAGGAGCCAAUUUGGACAAUAGAUGGGUGGUCCCUUACAACCCUUGUCUGCUUAUGCGAUACAACUGCCACAUUAAUGUUGAAGCAUGCUCGAGCAUCAAGGCAGUGAAGUAUUUGUUCAAGUACAUAUAUAAAGGCCAUGAUCGGACAUCAUUUGCUUUUGAGCAGGACAUAAUCAAUGAUGGUGGAAUCAUCAAUGAAAUCCGACAAUAUAGGGAUGCACGCUAUGUAUCUCCUCCAGAGGCUAUUUACAGGAUUUUUGGUUUUAAAAUGUUUGGUGUCAGUCCAUCAGUGCUACAGCUCCAACUUCAUUUGCCAAAUAUGCAUACAAUUGCAUUUAAAUCUGGUGAAAAUCUAGAAGAUGUUGUCGCUCGACCAUCUUCAUCUAGGUCCAUGCUUACCGAGUACUUUGAGAUGAACCGGAAGAUUCCGCAAGCACGGAAAUUGUUGUACAGAGAGUUUCCAGAGCAUUAUAGAUGGAUAGCUGGAAAAAAGAAGUGGCAGAAGAGAAGAAAUAACAGAUCGCAGAUUGGAAGACUUGUCUACGCACACCCUGCUGAAGGAGAGAGGUACUACUUGCGUGUGUUGCUAAGUCAUGUCCGAGGUGCCACUUCAUUUGAUGAUUUAAAAACAGUAAAUGGCAACAUGUGCACUUCCUUCAGAGAGGCAUGUGAACACUUAGGCCUCAUUGAGCACGACAAGACUCUUGAUGAUUGCAUGACAGAGGCGGCCACAUUUCAGAUGCCUUGUGCCCUAAGAUGGUUGUUUGCGACUAUAUUGGUUUUUUGCGAGGCAACAGAAAUCCGACAAUUGUGGGAGAAACAUCUACCAUCAAUGUGUGAGGAUUACUGUCUUAAUGAAUCAAAUGAGUCAAUACUUGAGCAGAUGGUCCUUAGAGAUAUUAGGGAUAUGUUGCAAUCCAUGGGAAAGGAUAUUAAAAACUAUGGACUUCCGGAUCUAGUAGAGACCGAUGGUUCUUAUGACGGUGAGUACAGAGAGGUAACAGAAGAGAGGCAAAUCACCGCGGACAUAGAACAUCUAGAUCUAUUUAGCAGUUUGAACAAUGAGCAGUUGGCUGGUUUCAAUGACAUAAUAGAUCAUGUGAUGAACAAAAAAAGCCAGAUAUUCUUUGUUGAUGGUCCAGGAGGCACUAGGAAGACGUACCUGUACAAGGCAUUGCUUGCUAAGGUGCGUUCCAUGGGCCAAAUGGCGAUUGCAACUGCUACAUCUGGUAUUGCAGCAUCGAUAAUGCCUGGAGGAUGGACAGCACACUCUCGGUUCAAAAUACCAAUCAAGCUCACUGACAAUAGUAUGUGCAGUUUCACAAAACAAAGUGGUACAGCGGAGUUGCUUAGACAGGCGUCCUUGAUAAUUUGGGACGAAGUCGCUAUGAAAAAACGUCAAGCAGUUGAGACGCUUGAUAGAUCACUACAGGAUAUAAUGGAAUGUUCUUUGCCGUUUGGAGGAAAGGUUGUCGUCUUUGGUGGUGAUUUCAGGCAGGUCCUACCUGUUGUGACACAUGGGACAAGAGCGCAGAUCACGGAUGCUACACUUCUGAGAUCCUAUCUUUGGGAGAAGACCCGCAAGAUACGUCUCACACGCAAUAUGCGGGCACAGGCUGAUCCUUGGUUCUCGGAAUACCUCCUAAGGAUAGGCAAUGGAACUGAAGAGACAAUUGGCGACGACUAUGUCCGUCUCCCUGACGACAUUGUCAUUGGCUAUACCGAGGAUGAAAAAGCUAUUAACAUGCUCAUCGAAGAUGUCUUCCCAUCGUUGCAUGCCAAUGCUACAUCCAGAGAGUACAUGAGUGCACGUGCUAUUCUAUCGACCAAGAACGAUCAUGUCGAUGACCUGAAUGACAAGAUGAUCUACAGGUUUCCAGGUGAAGAAAAGUUAUAUCAUAGUUUUGACUCAAUCGAGGAUGACCUACAGAAUAAUUACACAAUUGAUUUUUUGAACUCGAUCACACCAAAUGGCUUGCCCCCACAUGUUUUGAAAUUAAAGGUCAACUGCCCGGUCAUUCUGCUACGGAACCUCGACCCUCAUAAUGGUCUAUGCAAUGGAACACGGCUUAUGAUCAGAGCCUUUCAGGAUAAUGCAAUCGAUGCAGAGAUUGUUGGUGGUCAGCAUGCUGGAAAGAGGGUGUUUAUACCUAGGAUCCCUAUGUCGCCCUCGGAGGACAUCUCACUUCCUUUCAAACUUAAGAGAACACAGUUCCCCAUCCGUCUGAGUUUUGUGAUGACAGUUAACAAGGCACAGGGUCAGACCAUCCCAAAUGUUGGCAUUUACCUUCCCGAGCCAGUAUUCUCACAUGGUCAGCUAUAUGUUGCAUUGUCAAGAGGAGUGUCGAGAGAGACAACACGGAUUUUGGCCAAGCCAAACAAGGAUGUCGAUAAAUCCAGGAAAAGCACCAAGAACAUUGUCUACAAAGAUGUUUUGGAGAGAUGA
This 4308-nucleotide ribosomal RNA is filed under the name Triticum aestivum (bread wheat). RNAcentral describes it as "partial small subunit ribosomal RNA". The record is from RNAcentral. Lineage: Eukaryota; Viridiplantae; Streptophyta; Magnoliopsida; Poales; Poaceae.